ACAAUGGAAGUAGAGGAAAGUGGCGGACGGGUGAGUAACGCGUGAGGAACCUGCCUUGAAGAGGGGGACAACAGUUGGAAACGACUGCUAAUACCGCAUGAUACAUUUGGGUGGCAUCAUCUGAAUGUCAAAGAUUUAUCGCUGAAAGAUGGCCUCGCGUCUGAUUAGCUAGUUGGUGAGGUAACGGCCCACCAAGGCGACGAUCAGUAGCCGGACUGAGAGGUUGAACGGCCACAUUGGGACUGAGAUACGGCCCAGACUCC
RNAcentral lists this ribosomal RNA (263 nucleotides) under uncultured Oscillibacter sp. Its description in RNAcentral is "partial 16S ribosomal RNA". It matches the Rfam family "Bacterial small subunit ribosomal RNA", at positions 77 to 339 of the family's 1533-position model. The record is from RNAcentral. Lineage: Bacteria; Bacillati; Bacillota; Clostridia; Eubacteriales; Oscillospiraceae.